Molecule: long non-coding RNA, 233 nt
Organism: Arabidopsis thaliana (thale cress)
Lineage: Eukaryota; Viridiplantae; Streptophyta; Magnoliopsida; Brassicales; Brassicaceae
Product: other RNA
Exons: 1
Source: RefSeq
UGGACGGUGUGAGCUGCAAUGCUCUGUUUUCUCUAAUGCUAUCAACCUUCUUUCAUGGGUUUUGCCGUUUUAUGCUCACAACACAAGGCAAUGCUCAUGGGUUUUGCCGUUUUAUGCUCACAACACAAGGCAAUGCUCCAAGUAUCUGGAACUGAUUGGACCAUAUGGUCCUUAGUGUGGACUUAGUUUUGAUCUCUGGAGAAUCAAUCAGGUGCUGCGUCGAAAUUCCCUAU